UCUCGCUCUCUCUCUCUCUGUCUCUCUCUCUCUCUCUCUCUCUCUCUCUCUCUCUCUCUCUCUCUCUCUCUCUCUCUCUCAUAGGCUACCGGUCUAUUUACUUUCGAGCAUAGUUGGCUAUUGACUGAGCGAUGUACAAAGGGUACAUCUAAUAUCUAAUAUUUGUUUUGUAACAGGAAUAAAACAGUCAUGUCAGAAAAGGAGAGACCUGCCUUGCAUGUCAGUAAGCAUUAUACUGUUAGUCUACACCUGUUAUUUAUGAAGCAUGUGACGAAUAACAUUUGAUUUGAUUUGAUUUGCAAUGUGAUUAUGAUUUCGGCCUACGUUAUGAAAGUCAACUAAAUAUAUAUCAGGUGACGUGCUGCUAUGUGAUCUUCUUACCAACGUUAAAUGCAUCUGUUUUAUCAUUAGUUCUACUUUUUACUGUUUUUUAUUAGCCUACCAUAAGUAUUAUUCCUGUGUAUCAAGGAACUACAAUAUCUGCUUGCAGUACAGUUGAUCAACCACUAGGAGGUGUGUGUCCGCAUGGUCUUAGAUUAGCAUGGAGGUACGCGCACUUUCCUGCCAAGUUUAAAAUGUGUAAAUACUAACCUUUUAGAGAAAACUGUCAGACUGAAGGUUUGUGCUCACGCACCUUUGAUAAAUGAGGUCCUUCCUGGUGUGAAUAAGAUGGUUGUACUGUGUGGAGACGCCCUUCUAAACAUGGAGAGUCUAUUAGGACCAGUCUGUUAGUGCUGAAACUAUGGACCAGUCUAUUAGUGCUGAAACUAUGGACCAGUCUAUUAGUGCUGAAACUAUGGACCAGUCUGUUAGUGCUGAAACUAUGGACCAGUCUAUUAGUGCUGAAACUAUGGACCAGUCUAUUAGUGCUGAAACUAUGGACCAGUCGGUUAGUGCUGAAACUAUGGACCAGUCUGUUAGUGCUGAAACUAUGGACCAGUCUGUUAGUGCUGAAACUAUGGACCAGUCUGUUAGUGCUGAAACUAUAGACCAGUCUAUUAUUGCUGAAACAAUGGACCAGUCUGUUAGUGCUGAAACUAUGGACCAGUCUGUUAGUGCUGAAACUAUGGACCAGUCUGUUAGUGCUGAAACUAUGGACCAGUCUGUUAUUGCUGAAACUAUGGACCAGUCUGUUAUUGCUGAAACUAUGAACCAGUCUGUUAGUGCUGAAACGAUAGACCAGUCUAUUAGUGCUGAAACUAUGGACCAGUCUGUUAGUGCUGUAACUAUGGACCAGUCUGUUAGUGCUGAAAGUAUGGACCAGUCUGUUAUUGCUGAAACUAUGGACCAGUCUAUUAGUGCUGAAACUAUGAACCAGUCUGUUAGUGCUGAAACUAUGGACCAGUCUGUUAGUGCUGAAACUAUGGACCAGUCUGUUAUUGCUGAAACUAUGGACCAGUCUGUUAUUGCUGAAACUAUGGACCAGUCUGUUAGUGCUGAAACUAUGGACCAGUCUAUUAGUGCUGAAACUAUGGACCAGUCUGUUAGUGCUGAAACUAUGGACCAGUCUAUUAGUGCUGAAAUUAUGGACCAGCUGUACCACUAGGCUGUAGACAGAGAGCUGUACCACUAGGCUGUAGACAGAGAGCUGUACCACUAGGCUGUAGACAGAGAGUUGUACCACUAGGCUGUACACAGAGAGCUGUACCACUAGGCUGUAGACAGAGAGUUGUACCACUAGGCUGUAGACAGAGAGCUGUACCACUAGGCUGUAGACAGAGAGCUGUACCACUAGGCUGUAGACAGAGAGCUGUACCACUAGGCUGUAGACAGAGAGUUGUACCACUAGGCUGUAGACAGAGAGUUGUACCACUCCCGCUGUGUAACUGAAGGUUUUUGGGGCUCACUCCCGCUGUGUAACUGAAGGUUUUUGGGGUCACCUCCGCUCUGUAACUGAAGGUCUUGGGGGUCACCUCCGCUGUGUAGCUGAAGAUUUUGGGGGUCACCUCCGCUGUGUAGCUGAAGGUUUUAUGGUCACCUCCGCUGUGUAGCUGAAGGUUUUAGGGUCACCUCCGCUGUGUAACUGAAGGUUUUGGGGGUCACCCCCGCUGUGUAACUGAAGGUUUUGGGCGUCACCCCCGCUGUGUAACUGAAGGUUUUGGGGUCACCUCUGCUGUGUAACUGAAUGUUUUAGGGUCACCUCCGCUGUGUAACUGAAGGUUUUAGGGUCACAUCCGCUGUGUAACUGAAGGUUUUGGUGUCACCUCCGCUGUGUAACUGAAGGUUUUAGGGUCACCUCCGCUGUGUAGCUGAAGGAUUUAGGGUCACCUCCGCUGUGUAACUGAAAUUUUCGGGGUCAAAUCCGCUGUGUAGCUGAAGGUUUUGGGGUCACCCCGCUGUGUAGCAGAAGGUUUUGGGUCUCACCCCAGCUGUGUAACUGAAGGUUUUGGGGUCACCUCCGCUGUGUAGCUGAAGGUUUUGGGUCUCACCCCAGCUGUGUAACUGAAGGUUUUGGGGUCACCUCCGCUGUGUAGCUGAAGGUUUUUGGGGCUCACUCCCGCUGUGUAACUGAAGGUUUUUGGGGUCACCUCCGCUCUGUAACUGAAGGUCUUGGGGGUCACCUCCGCUGUGUAGCUGAAGAUUUUGGGGGUCACCUCCGCUGUGUAGCUGAAGGUUUUAGGGUCACCUCCGCUGUGUAACUGAAGGUUUUGGGGGUCACCCCCGCUGUGUAACUGAAGGUUUUGGGGUCACCUCCGCUGUGUAGCUGAAGGUUUUGGGUCUCACCCCAGCUGUGUAACUGAAGGUUUUGGGUCUCACCCCAGCUGUGUAACUGAAGGUUUUGGGUCUCACCCCAGCUGUGUAACUGAUGGUUUUGGGUCUCACCCCAGCUGUGUAACUGAAGGUUUUGGGUCUCACCCCAGCUGUGUAACUGAAGGUUUUGGGUCUCACCCCAGCUGUGUAACUGAAGGUUUUGGGUCUCACCCCGCUGUGUAACUCUGGUGAGAGCUCUCUGCUAGUGAGAGAGUUGACACGACCUCUAUCUCUCCCCACUGCCAUCCUCUGUCUCCAUCUGUUCAAUAAAUUCAGAAAAUAUAUAUUUAUAAAAAGAAGUAGUCUGUCUCCACCGACUGCAUAGAAAGGAGGGAAGAAGGAGGUAGAGUGAAUGAGGGGAGGAGGUAGAUUGAACGAGGGAUGGAGAUAGAGUGAACGAGGGGUGAAGGAGGUAGAGUGAACGAGGGGUGAAGGAGGUAGAGUGAACGAGGGAAGAAGGAGGUAGAGUGAACGAGGGGAGAAGGAGGUAGAGUGAACGAGGGGUGAAGGAGGUAGAGUGAAUGAGGGGAGGAGGUAGAGUGAACGAGGGAUGGAGGUAGAGUGAACGAGGGGAGGAGGUAGCGUGAACGAGGGGUGAAGGAGGUAGAGUGAACGAGGGUAGAAGGAGGUAGAGUGAACGAGGGAAGAAGGAGGUAGAGUGAACGAGGGGAGAAGGAGGUAGAGUGAACGAGGGGAGGAGGUAGAGUGAGCGAGGGAUGGAGGUAGAGUGAACGACGGGAGAAGGAGGUAGAGUGAACGAGGGGUGAAGGAGGUAGAGUGAACGAGGGAAGAAGGAGGUAGAGUGAACGAGGGAAGAAGGAGGUAGAGUGAACGAGGGGAGAAGGAGGUAGAGUGAACGAGGGAAGAAGGAGGUAGAGUGAACGAGGGAAGAAGGAGGUAGAGUGAUGCUUGUGGAACCUCCCACUCUCUCUCCUCCACUGUGUGUUUCUGCAGUUCUACGGUCUCUAUGUCCUCCCUUUCAUUUAGCCAGUGGCUUCUCUCUCUCUCUCUCUCUCUCUCUCUCUCUCUCUCUCUCUCUCUCUCUCUCUCAAUCUCCCUCCGUCUUUCUCUCUCUAUCCAACCCUCCCUCCC
Molecule: long non-coding RNA, 3843 nt
Filed under: Salmo salar (Atlantic salmon)
Lineage: Eukaryota; Metazoa; Chordata; Actinopteri; Salmoniformes; Salmonidae
Description: lncRNA (ENSSSAG00000086260.1)
Source: RNAcentral